AGAUCCCUCCUCCGGAGUUUUGUAGUAAGCCCAGGAUGUGGAGGGACCUUGAAGUUGGAGAAAUGACUAGACAGAAUUCUUUAUGAAGUUCAAUAAAGGAAAAUGAAAAAAUCACCAGGAGUCAGCAAUGUGCCUUUAGGGCAAAGAAAGCCAAGGAAGAAUACUGCCAGCUGUACAAGGCAGGAGAUGCUUUGCGUCUGCUCAGUGCUGCUCAACUCGGAGAGCACUGACAAGAAAGACUGCAAUCAAUCCAUCUUUCAGACCAGCCAAGUUCAAGUACUUCCAGUGCUGUUGUUUCAGAGAGUAAAAAAAAAAAGGGACAAAUGAAAAAGACCUACUAGCAGAGACUUGCCAAUUACAAUUGCAUUUAGAAAGCAGUUAGAACCACUCUAUUUGCAUUCUUAUGUGAAACUAGCUUCUCAUAUUAUAUUCAGCUACAGAUAUUCUUCUGUAUGUGAGGAUGUCUAUGAACAUCUGUUUCUUUGUUACCAUUUGCCUCUGAAGGAGUUCAUUGAGUAAAGAGAAAUGCAUUACUAUUGCCAUUCCAACUUAUAAGCAACUAAUAAAUUAAAAAAUAUACACAAUGAUCACUCACACUGACAGCUGUGUUACAGAGAUGAGGGGCUGAAGGAACUUUCAAAAGUCACUUAUUUUGCACUUGUGGAGUGAGAACAUUCUGACUGGUGGCACAGCUGAGCUUACAGGAAAUCUUGCAUGCAGCUUUGGAUAGGCAAGGCCCUUUCUGUUUAGCAGCUGUAAGUGCACAAGAGUACCAGGGAGGAUCAGCUCAAAGGACCACCUACCCUUGCAUUUGUUGGCAGGAAACAUCUUUAAAGAGGUCAAAAUAAACACAUUUUAAUGUUGAAUAUAAAAUAUGUAAGGCUGCUGUCUUAGUCUCCAGCAGUUAAUGAUUCAGAGACUUUGCAUUUAACAGUUUGCAGUAAACAGAAGCUGCUAGAAAAAUAAAGUACCCUUUGUUAGCUUCAGAAUACAAAUA
Molecule: long non-coding RNA, 997 nt
Organism: Lagopus leucura (white-tailed ptarmigan)
Lineage: Eukaryota; Metazoa; Chordata; Aves; Galliformes; Phasianidae
Exons: 3
Source: RefSeq, a predicted model, not a curated record